UACAGAGGUCUCAAGCGUUGUUCGGAUUCAUUGGGCGUAAAGGGUGCGUAGGUGGUUUGUUAAGUUGAAGGUGAAAUCUCGGAGCUCAACUCCGAAACUGCCUUCAAUACUGGCGAACUCGAGGACUGUAGAGGAGAAUGGAAUUCACGGUGUAGCAGUGAAAUGCGCAGAUAUCGGGAGGAACACCUAUGGCGAAGGCAGCUCGCUGGGGCGUUACUGACGCUGAGACGCGAAAGCGUGGGGAGCAAACAGG
Molecule: ribosomal RNA, 253 nt
Filed under: uncultured bacterium
Lineage: Bacteria
Description: partial 16S ribosomal RNA
Rfam family: Bacterial small subunit ribosomal RNA
Source: RNAcentral